RNAcentral lists this ribosomal RNA (440 nucleotides) under uncultured bacterium. RNAcentral describes it as "bacterial SSU rRNA". It matches the Rfam family "Bacterial small subunit ribosomal RNA", at positions 954 to 1392 of the family's 1533-position model. The record is from RNAcentral.
GCUUAACGCGAAGAACCUUACCUACUCUUGACAUCCACGGAACUUAGCAGAGAUGCUUUGGUGCCUUCGGGAACCGUGAGACAGGUGCUGCAUGGCUGUCGUCAGCUCGUGUUGUGAAAUGUUGGGUUAAGUCCCGCAACGAGCGCAACCCUUAUCCUUUGCUGCCAGCGGUUAGGCCGGGAACUCAAAGGAGACUGCCAGUGAUAAACUGGAGGAAGGUGGGGAUGGACGUCAAGUCAUCAUGGCCCUUACGAGUAGGGCUACGACACGUGCUACAAUGGCGCAUACAAAGAGAAGCGACCUCGCGAGAGCAAGCGGACCUCAUAAAGUGCGUCGUAGUCCGGAUUGGAGUCUGCAACUCGACUCCAUGAAGUCGGAAUCGCUAGUAAUCGUAGAUCAGAAUGCUACGGUGAGUACGUUCCCGGGUCUUGUACACACCG